Molecule: ribosomal RNA, 463 nt
Filed under: uncultured bacterium
Lineage: Bacteria
Description: partial 16S ribosomal RNA
Rfam family: Bacterial small subunit ribosomal RNA
Source: RNAcentral
CUACGGGGCGCACCAGUGGGGAAUAUUGGACAAUGGGGGAAACCCUGAUCCGGCAAUGCCGCGUGUGAAGAAGGCCUGCGGGUUGUAAAGCACUUUCGGUUGGGAGGACUGCUUCUAGCACUAAUAUUGUUGGAAGUUGACGUUACCUUCAGAAGAAGCACCGGCUAACUCCGUGCCAGCAGCCGCGGUAAUACGGAGGGUGCAAGCGUGAAUCGGAAUUACUGGGCGUAAAGCGCGCGUAGGCGGCUAGAUCAGUCGGGUGUGAAAGCCCCGGGCUUAACCUGGGAACUGCAUCCGAUACUGUCUAGCUUGAGUACAGGAGAGGAGAGUGGAAUUCCACAUGUAGCGGUGAAAUGCGUAGAUAUGUGGAGGAACACCAAUGGCGAAGGCAGCUCUCUGGCCUGAUACUGACGCUGAGGUGCGAAAGCGUGGGGAGCAAACAGGAUUAGAUACCCCAGUAGUC